Molecule: ribosomal RNA, 465 nt
Filed under: uncultured bacterium
Lineage: Bacteria
Description: partial 16S ribosomal RNA
Rfam family: Bacterial small subunit ribosomal RNA
Source: RNAcentral
GAUGAACACUGGCGGCGUGCUUAACACAUGCAAGUCGAACGGAAAGGCCCAAGCUUGCUUGGGUACUCGAGUGGCGAACGGGUGAGUAACACGUGGGUGAUCUGCCCUGCACUUCGGGAUAAGCCUGGGAAACUGGGUCUAAUACCGGAUAUGACCACAUUUUGGAUGGUGUGGUGGAAAGUUUUUCGGUGUUGGAUGAGCUCGCGGCCUAUCAGCUUGUUGGUGGGGUAAUGGCCUACCAAGGCGUCGACGGGUAGCCGGCCUGAGAGGGUGUACGGCCACAUUGGGACUGAGAUACGGACCAGACUCCUACGGGAGGCAGCAGUGGGGAAUAUUGCACAAUGGGCGCAAGCCUGAUGCAGCGACGCCGCGUGGGGGAUGACGGCCUUCGGGUUGUAAACUCCUUUCGCUAGGGACGAAGCGAAAGUGACGGUACCUGGAGAAGAAGCACCGGCUAACUACGUG